This 274-nucleotide ribosomal RNA is filed under the name uncultured bacterium. Its description in RNAcentral is "partial 16S ribosomal RNA". It matches the Rfam family "Bacterial small subunit ribosomal RNA", at positions 523 to 796 of the family's 1533-position model. The record is from RNAcentral.
AUACGGAGGGUGCAAGCGUUACUGGGAAUCACUGGGCGUAAAGCGCGCGCAGGCGGUCUUUUAAGUUGGAUGUGAAAGCCUACGGCUCAACCGUAGAACUGCAUCCAAAACUAUUAGACUAGAGUGUGGGAGAGGAAGAUGGAAUUAGUUGUGUAGGGGUAAAAUCCGUAGAGAUAACUAGGAAUACCAAAAGCGAAGGCAAUCUUCUGGAACACUACUGACGCUGAGGCGCGAAAGCGUGGGGAGCAAACAGGAUUAGAAACCCCUGUAGUCC